AGAGUUUGAUCAUGGCUCAGGAUGAACGCUAGCGGCAGGCUUAACACAUGCAAGUCGAGGGGUAUAGAGAGCUUGCUUUCUAGAGACCGGUGCACGGGUGCGUAACGCGUAUGCAAUCUACCUUUAUCAGAGGGAUAGCCCAGAGAAAUUUGGAUUAAUACCUCAUAGUAUAGCGACAUCGCAUGAUGAUGCUAUUAAAGUCACAACGGAUAGAGAUGAGCAUGCGUCCCAUUAGCUUGUUGGUAAGGUAACGGCUUACCAAGGCAACGAUGGGUAGGGGUCCUGAGAGGGAGAUCCCCCACACUGGUACUGAGACACGGACCAGACUCCUACGGGAGGCAGCAGUGAGGAAUAUUGGUCAAUGGGCGCAAGCCUGAACCAGCCAUGCCGCGUGCAGGAUGACGGUCCUAUGGAUUGUAAACUGCUUUUGCACAGGAAGAAACACUACCUCGUGAGGUAGCUGACGGUACUGGAGAAUAAGAU
RNAcentral lists this ribosomal RNA (483 nucleotides) under uncultured Flavobacterium sp. RNAcentral's name for it is "bacterial SSU rRNA". It matches the Rfam family "Bacterial small subunit ribosomal RNA", at positions 8 to 492 of the family's 1533-position model. The record is from RNAcentral. Lineage: Bacteria; Pseudomonadati; Bacteroidota; Flavobacteriia; Flavobacteriales; Flavobacteriaceae.